Molecule: ribosomal RNA, 352 nt
Filed under: uncultured soil bacterium
Lineage: Bacteria
Description: bacterial SSU rRNA
Rfam family: Bacterial small subunit ribosomal RNA
Source: RNAcentral
AGAUUGAACGCUGGCGGCAGGCCUAACACAUGCAAGUCGAGCGGUAGAGAGGUGCUUGCAUCUCUUGAGAGCGGCGGACGGGUGAGUAAUGCCUAGGAAUCUGCCUAGUGGUGGGGGAUAACGUUCGGAAACGGACGCUAAUACCGCAUACGUCCUACGGGAGAAAGCGGGGGACCUUCGGGCCUCGCGCCAUUAGAUGAGCCUAGGUCGGAUUAGCUAGUUGGUGAGGUAAUGGCUCACCAAGGCGACGAUCCGUAACUGGUCUGAGAGGAUGAUCAGUCACACUGGAACUGAGACACGGUCAGACUCUACGGGAGCAGCAGUGGGAAUAGUUGGACAAGUGGGACGAAAG